RNAcentral lists this long non-coding RNA (729 nucleotides) under Mus spicilegus (steppe mouse). RNAcentral describes it as "lncRNA (ENSMSIG00000030971.1)". Lineage: Eukaryota; Metazoa; Chordata; Mammalia; Rodentia; Muridae. The record is from RNAcentral.
AAUAUCUGACAAAUGGACUUUGGGGUCUCUCAUUAGUUGCUUAUAUGAAUCAGCAGCCAAGGUUUUUCUCAUCUGUAAGAAAUGGACAUUCCCACGUACCUCGCCGCUCUUGUACUAUGGUUUGAUGACCUAUGAUGUAAGACAGUGCACAGCAUGGGGCCCACUCUGCUAAGGACUUCCCAUAAAUGAGGAUUGAGAAGCACAAGCGUCACUCCGUGAGAGGUGGGUUUAUGUGCUCACAAUGAGUGACUCAGUGCCAGGCUUUGACAGGACAGUCAGAGCUAAAAUUCUGUUUCUGCUAGAUGAUUAAUACAGACAGGUCACUGGGUAGAAACCCAGGCCGGGUUAGGGUCAGAGCAGAGGGGAGUGGGAAGCCUCCUUUCUGGAGUGUCAAGUCUCAGUGCUGACCAUGGGACUUGCAUCUGCUCUUCUGGACUAUGGUUUCACGUGUUCUUGCAUCAGUUUCUGGGCAACAAAACAACUCUCAUUUCCUGUUAUUUCCACAGCAGAGGUCAGCAUGCCAGACAAAGAGGAUACUGGUAGCAAUGAUGAUGAUGAGGAGGAGGAGGAGGACAGCGACGAUGACAAAGACGAUGACUAUGAUGAUACCCAGAAAUCUGAAAUCAAGAAGGGCCCACAGUUCGAGGACUGAGUGAAAAUAUUUCCUUGGAUUAAGGUUAAUUGUAGGAGACUUUGGAGGGUAAUGCAAAGCCUGCACUAAGAAGAAAC